CUUACAGCGACAACAAUGUUUGGAUGGAAACUCAGCUAACUUCUCUUAUCAUAGAAGCUGCCUUUGUCAUUGUCAGCUGCGCAGGAAUUAGCCAAAGCAGUGGCCAUAAUUAGCGGCAGAUGUUAAAAGAAAAACACUUCUUUUACAAAGUACAGCGAUUACUGUUUAUGGCUUGAAUUUUGCUAGCCUUUUUUCUGUGUAUUACUUUAUUAUCUCUGCAGUGGAGGCAUGUUAUGGUGGCAAUUACUACUCCUAAGCGAACAGUUCUCAUAAGAACUUUAAGCACCCCCCCUCCACACCAAGUGAAAGACCACCAUGGCCAGAGCUGAUGUUUUCCAAACUCUCUGCUCUCUGUAUGGAUCUAUGUGGGCAUGGCAACCAGGCAGAGCAGCAAUAAAGGUUUGUAUGUUCCGGUUAUGAUGGGCGGCCAUGGGAAACCAGCGUCACAGAGGGACCUGGCAAGGUAUUCAGGGGCCAGUGGAGCGCUUCCACUGCCAGGCCUGUUGUGAUAAUUAUAUCUCCAGUGGGGACAAUCUGGAAAGGUUAUUUCCAUCCGCUGAGGCUUGUGGGCGUGUUUCCUCUUGGCCCUCAUGGGAUAAAAGGAUAGG
Long non-coding RNA from Acanthopagrus latus (yellowfin seabream), 608 nucleotides. RefSeq lists it as uncharacterized. The record is from RefSeq and is a predicted model, not a curated record. NCBI's taxonomy places the organism in Eukaryota, Metazoa, Chordata, Actinopteri, Spariformes, Sparidae. The transcript is spliced from 3 exons.